Molecule: long non-coding RNA, 757 nt
Filed under: Ovis aries (sheep)
Lineage: Eukaryota; Metazoa; Chordata; Mammalia; Artiodactyla; Bovidae
Description: lncRNA (ENSOARG00000026021.1)
Source: RNAcentral
GCUUUUUGCCUGCCAGUCUGAAAGGAAAGAACAACGUGAUGUUUUCCCUUCUUCUCUCAACCAGGCACCACAGAUAGAGACGUAAGAGGGUUGACUUUGAUAAGAAUUUUUACCGUUUGCUGGCGUCUGUCAGUCUCCCCAGAAUUCUGCAGGCUCUGGAGCCAGUGGGGUGUGCCAGUGGGUCUCAUUCUGGUCAUGAGAAAUAGAAGAGGAGGAAAAAUUUUUUUCCUCUACGCUUUACCGUGAGCGCUCAGGUUGUUAACACAGGCUAUUCCAUAACCAUAAUUGACGUUUUCAAACUGGUGCUGGAGAAGACUCGAGAGUUCCUUGGACAGCAAGGAUAUCAAACCCCAUUGGAAGGAUUGAUGCUGAAGCUGAAGCUCCAAUACUUUGGCCACCUCAUUAGAAGAGCUGACUCAUUGGAAAAGAUCCCGAUGCUGGGAAAGACUGAAGGCAGGAGGAGAAGGGGAUGACAGAGGAUGAGAUGGUUGGAUGGCAUUGUUGAUUCAAUGGACAUCUACUCAGAAAUUAAAGCUAUUUCUAGUUUUCUAAAGCAUCACUGAUGAUGUGGCUAGCAGUUACUUCCAGUGUCAAAUAUCAGUGAUAUCAGAGACCAACAGUAGAGUCUCUGCUGAGAGAUGUCAGCAGUAGUGUUUGAGCAAACUCUUGGAGAUAGUGAAGGAGAGGGAAGCCUGGCAUGCUGCGGUCCAUGGGGUUCCAAAGAGUUGACAUGACUUAGCAACUGAGCAACAGUAGU